GAAAUGCGAUAAGUAAUGUGAAUUGCAGAAUUCCGUGAAUCAUCGAAUCUUUGAACGCACAUUGCGCCCUCUGGUAUUCCGGGGGGCAUGCCUGUCCGAGCGUCAUUGACACAAAUCAAGCACGGCUUGUGUGUUGGGCCUUCGUCCCUUCAAAGGGACGUGCUCGAAACGCAGAGGCGGCGUCGCGGUUAUCCGACCAGCCAGAGUGUAUGGGGCUUUGUCACGCACUUUAGGCCUAGGACCGGCGCCAGUCGACCUAUUCUUUCCAUCAAGGUUGACCUCGGAUCAGGUAGGGAUACCCGCUGAACUUAA
This 312-nucleotide unclassified non-coding RNA is filed under the name uncultured Onygenales. RNAcentral describes it as "sequence contains ITS1". The stretch from base 1 to 105 matches the Rfam family "5.8S ribosomal RNA", at positions 50 to 154 of the family's 154-position model. The record is from RNAcentral. Lineage: Eukaryota; Fungi; Ascomycota; Eurotiomycetes; Onygenales.